This 253-nucleotide ribosomal RNA is filed under the name uncultured bacterium. RNAcentral's name for it is "partial 16S ribosomal RNA". It matches the Rfam family "Bacterial small subunit ribosomal RNA", at positions 524 to 776 of the family's 1533-position model. The record is from RNAcentral.
UACGUAGGGUGCGAGCGUUAAUCGGAAUUACUGGGCGUAAAGCGUGCGCAGGCGGUUUUGUAAGCCAGAUGUGAAAUCCCCGGGCUUAACCUGGGAAUGGCAUUUGGGACUGCAAGGCUGGAGUGUGGCAGAGGAGACUGGAAUUCCCGGUGUAGCAGUGAAAUGCGUAGAUAUCGGGAGGAACACCAGUAGCGAAGGCGGCUCGCUGGGCCGUUCCUGACGCUGAGACGCGAAAGCGUGGGGAGCAAACAGG